GGCCUGGCCGGAUGGUCCACCUAACGGUGUUGUACUGUCUGGCCGGGCCUUACCUCUUGGUGAGCCGGCGUGCCCUUUACUGGGUGCGUCGGGGAACCAGGACUUUUACCUUGAGAAAAUUAGAGUGUUCAAAGCAGGCAUAACUAGGCAUCAUGAAUACAUUAGCAUGGGAUAAUAGAA
RNAcentral lists this ribosomal RNA (180 nucleotides) under uncultured Glomeromycotina. RNAcentral describes it as "partial small subunit ribosomal RNA". Lineage: Eukaryota; Fungi; Glomeromycota. The record is from RNAcentral.